GACGAACGCUGGCGGCGUGCCUAAUACAUGCAAGUUGAGCGCUGAAGGUUGGUACUUGUACCAACUGGAUGAGCAGCGAACGGGUGAGUAACGCGUGGGGAAUCUGCCUUUGAGCGGGGGACAACAUUUGGAAACGAAUGCUAAUACCGCAUAAAAACUUUAAACACAAGUUUUAAGUUUGAAAGAUGCAAUUGCAUCACUCAAAGAUGAUCCCGCGUUGUAUUAGCUAGUUGGUGAGGUAAAGGCUCACCAAGGCGAUGAUACAUAGCCGACCUGAGAGGGUGAUCGGCCACCUUGGGACUGAGACAAGGCCCAAACUCCUACGGGAGGCAGCAGUAGGGAAUCUUCGGCAAUGGACGAAAGGCUGACCGAGCAACGCCGCGUGAGUGAAGAAGGUUUUCGGAUCGUAAAACUCUGUUGGUAGAGAAGAACGUUGGUGAGAGUGGAAAGCUCAUCAAGUGACGGUAACUACCCAGAAAGGGACGGCUAACUACGUG
This 497-nucleotide ribosomal RNA is filed under the name uncultured bacterium. RNAcentral's name for it is "partial 16S ribosomal RNA". It matches the Rfam family "Bacterial small subunit ribosomal RNA", at positions 28 to 507 of the family's 1533-position model. The record is from RNAcentral.